RNAcentral lists this ribosomal RNA (550 nucleotides) under Elephas maximus (Asiatic elephant). RNAcentral describes it as "partial large subunit ribosomal RNA". It matches the Rfam family "Bacterial large subunit ribosomal RNA", at positions 1817 to 2597 of the family's 2925-position model. Lineage: Eukaryota; Metazoa; Chordata; Mammalia; Proboscidea; Elephantidae. The record is from RNAcentral.
CACCUCGAGCAUUACUAGUAUUUGAGGCACUGCCUGCCCAGUGACCAAGUGUUAAACGGCCGCGGUACUCUGACCGUGCAAAGGUAGCAUAAUCAUUUGUUCCUUAAUUGGGGACUUGUAUGAAUGGCCACACGAGGGUUCAACUGUCUCUUUCUUCUAAUCAAUGAAAUUGACCUUCUCAUGAAGAGGCGAGAAUAAACAUAUAAGACGAGAAGACCCUAUGGAGCUUAAAUUAACUAAUUUAAUUGCUACCCUAUAAAUCUACAAGAUACAGCCAAGUAGUAUAAUAAAUGAACAAUUUUGGUUGGGGUGACCUCGGAGAAGAAAAAAACCUCCGAAUGAUAUUCUAAUUUAGACUCUACAAGUCAAAAUUUACUAAUCACUUAUUGACCCAAUACUUGAUCAACGGAACAAGUUACCCUAGGGAUAACAGCGCAAUCCUACUCUAGAGUCCCUAUCGACAGCAGGGUUUACGACCUCGAUGUUGGAUCAGGACAUCCUAAUGGUGCAGCCGCUAUUAAGGGUUCGUUUGUUCAACGAUUAAAGCCCU